GACGUAGGGUCCGAGCGUUAAUCGGAAUUACUGGGCGUAAAGCGUGCGCAGGCGGGUUUGUAAGCCAGAUGUGAAAGCCCCGGGCUCAACCUGGGAACUGCAUUUGGGACUGCAAGGCUGGAGUACGGCAGAGGGAGGUGGAAUUCCACGUGUAGCAGUGAAAUGCGUAGAGAUGUGGAGGAACACCGAUGGCGAAGGCAGCCUCCUGGGCUAGUACUGACGCUCAUGCACGAAAGCGUGGGGAGCAAACAGG
RNAcentral lists this ribosomal RNA (253 nucleotides) under uncultured bacterium. RNAcentral's name for it is "partial 16S ribosomal RNA". It matches the Rfam family "Bacterial small subunit ribosomal RNA", at positions 524 to 776 of the family's 1533-position model. The record is from RNAcentral.